UGAGACGCUAUGGUAGAAAUGUCUCCAGAUUCCGGGUGGCUGUAAUGCCUCUGCAAAGCCACCUUUCAGCAUGUCCCAUUUGCUGUGCUUUCAAGUACUCAACUGUGUUGGUGCCUUUACAAGAUUCAGCCCCAAAGGCUUGUGCAGUAGAAGCCGCUUCAUGCUCUCUCUUGUGUCCUCUGAAAUGAUCAUCAUUCUUCAAGUGCUACCAUACUUUCUGAAAUGAUUUCAACAAAAGUGAAUGAACUACCGUUAAAUGCAACAACGUGGGUGGACAUCAAAACAUGAUACUGAAGACAGACACAGAAGAUACACACCUUUUGAUUGCAUUUACCUGAACUUUGAAAACAGUAAAAACAAAAUUAUUGGGUUCUAAGUCAAAAUAGUAGUUAGACCUGGUGGGGAAGGCAGGGAGUAGGAGUUGGGAGAGGCCAUAACAGGAAGAGGGGAGGAACUCUGGAGUCCUGGCAUCUUAUGUUUUUUUCAAUGGUGGUUACCCCAGUGAUCGCUUUGUGACAACUAAUCUGUGCAUUUACAUGUCAUGCACUUUUCUGUAUGUGAGAAUACUUUGCAAUAAAAAAUGCUUUCAAAAUAUCCAGUGGAAUUAGGAUAAAUCUGAGAGGCAAAGCUAUUAAAUUUUUAGAAUCAAUAUAAUAGAAUUUCUUUCUGACCAUAAGAUAGGAAGAGUUUUAAUGUAGAACACUCAAAAUACCACAAAGAAAAUUGUUUGAUAAAUAUCAAAAAGUUUUACAUUAAACUUUAGAACUAUUUUCCACUACAAGAUGUCAUAAAGUAAAAAGAUAAGCCAUAGACCUGACAAAUAUAUUUGUAACACAUAUAACUAAAAAAUGAUUAUAUAAUUUAUAAAUAAGAAAACAGACAAACAUGCCAACCUAAAAAUGAACAAAAGACAUGAGCAGGUAAUUUACAGAAGAACACAUGAAUGGCUAAUAAUUAUAUCUGAAGCUAUUCAGCCUCAUUAAUAAUUAGAAAAUGCAAAUUAAAACUGGCUGAGUUGGCCAGAACUAUAAAAUAUGACAAUUCCAAUUGCUGGUAGGGUACGGAACAACAGGAACUCAUACACUGUUGAAUAAUAAAUUGGUAUAAUCAGUCCAAUGGACAUUUUUGCAUUCCCUGAUCAAUAUUUGCAUGUGCUACAUGGUCAGCAAUUCUACUUUUGGAGAUAUUCCUCAGGAAACUUCAAUUGAGAUCAUGUACAAAAAAAUCCGUGUUAGUAUUGCUUAUACUAGUAAAAUACUGGAAAUAAUGUGUACGUCCAUCAAGAGACGAAUAAGUACUAAAUUAUGUUUCUCCAUACAAUAAGCACAUUUUGCAGCCGUGAAGUUUAAAGGAUGCGAUGCAUCAGUGUGGAUGAAUUCUCAGAAACACAUCACGCAACAAUGAUAAGUCAGUCACAAAAGAAUACGUAGAAUGCUUCCAUUAAAUGAAGCUUACAUAAGAGGUAAGACUAAUUUAAUAGUUGGGGAUGCAUACCUUUGUGAUAACAAUAUAAAGAAAAGCAAAUAAAGAAGAAGACAAAAUGCAGCAUAGUGAUCAAAUUGCAAGACAAGGAAGCGGAAUGCAAUCAAACCGCAAGAGA
This is a long non-coding RNA of Callithrix jacchus (white-tufted-ear marmoset), 1600 nucleotides long. RefSeq lists it as uncharacterized. The record is from RefSeq and is a predicted model, not a curated record. NCBI's taxonomy places the organism in Eukaryota, Metazoa, Chordata, Mammalia, Primates, Cebidae.